This 505-nucleotide ribosomal RNA is filed under the name uncultured soil bacterium. RNAcentral's name for it is "bacterial SSU rRNA". It matches the Rfam family "Bacterial small subunit ribosomal RNA", at positions 26 to 509 of the family's 1533-position model. The record is from RNAcentral.
AGAUUGAACGCUGGCGGCAUGCCUUACACAUGCAAGUCGAACGGCAGCACGGGAGCAAUCCUGGUGGCGAGUGGCGAACGGGUGAGUAAUACAUCGGAACGUGCCCAAUCGUGGGGGAUAACGCAGCGAAAGCUGUGCUAAUACCGCAUAAGAUCUACGGAUGAAAGCAGGGGAUCGCAAGACCUUGCGCGAAUGGAGCGGCCGAUGGCAGAUUAGGUAGUUGGUGAGGUAAAGGCUCACCAAGCCUUCGAUCUGUAGCUGGUCUGAGAGGACGACCAGCCACACUGGGACUGAGACACGGCCCAGACUCCUACGGGAGGCAGCAGGUGGGAAUUUUGGACAAUGGGCGAAAGCCUGAUCCAGCCAUGCCGCGUGCCAGGAUGAAGGCCUUACGGGUUGUAAACGUUGUCUUUUCGUUACGGAACGUAAAAGUCGUACUUUUACCUAAUAAAGGAGGAAUCAUGACGGUACCGUAAAGAAUAAGCAACCGGACUAACUACGUACG